CCUACGGGAGGCAGCAGUGAGGAGUAUUGGUCAAUGGACGAGAGUCUGAACCGGCCAAGUAGCGUGAAGGAUGACUGCCCUAUGGGUUGUAACCUUCUUUUCUAUGGGAAUAAAGUUUUCCACGUGUGGAAUUUUGUAUGUACCAUAUGAAUAAGGAUCGGCUAACUCCGUGCCAGCAGCCGCGGUAAUACGGAGGAUCCGAGCGUUAUCCGGAUUUAUUGGGUUUAAAGGGAGCGUAGGUGGAUUGUUAAGUCAGUUGUGAAAGUUUGCGGCUCAACCGUAAAGUUGCAGUUGAAACUGGCAGU
This 305-nucleotide ribosomal RNA is filed under the name uncultured bacterium. Its description in RNAcentral is "bacterial SSU rRNA". It matches the Rfam family "Bacterial small subunit ribosomal RNA", at positions 338 to 640 of the family's 1533-position model. The record is from RNAcentral.